This is a long non-coding RNA of Hyaena hyaena (striped hyena), 849 nucleotides long. RefSeq lists it as uncharacterized. The record is from RefSeq and is a predicted model, not a curated record. The transcript is spliced from 2 exons. NCBI's taxonomy places the organism in Eukaryota, Metazoa, Chordata, Mammalia, Carnivora, Hyaenidae.
ACUGUGGAGAGGAUGGUCCCAAGUGAAAGGAAAAGUGGGAGGCGAGUCCCUGGUGGCGGGGAGGCGGCCGACCUUAAAGGAGCUGCCGUUGUGGCUCUUCUAAAACCUGUUCUGUUUGGAAAAGCAAAAGCGAAGGAGGGAAAACAAGUGGCCGCACAGGACGUGCUGUCCCCAGAAGUGGAAGGGGCAAGAUGGGCUCAGGAGAGUAUCCUGCUUGUGGCCGCGAUGGUGCUGAGAAUUACCGCCUGCUAGGGAUGCCGGUCUAUAGAGGAUCCAGUCUACCUGACACGCCCUCUUCCUCGUUAUAAAGGGGAAGGAGCCCAUACCCCGUACAUUGACUAGUUUGUCUAAAGUCACAUGCCUACUGGCAUGCUUUGUACCUCACUUAUAGGGCUCUGACGAAGAAAGAUAAGACUGCAGAAGGUCAAACUGGAGAAAAUAGGAAUGUUCAUCUAAGGCGUUGGAACUUUUCAUACAAGAGUUAAAAAGACCGUGAAAAUUUGUGAGCAGAUGAAUGAAACGGCCAGGACCAUGUCAAAUCAUCAUCUGGAGCUGCAAAGGAAUCCUACUGGCACGCUGAACAAAACUGGGGUUCUGCUAGUGAGAAUGAAGGGGAGAACUUGUAAUCCACUUUGUCAAAGUAUAAUACAUGUACUUAUGGGAAGUGCCUGCUUGGAUAGGUUUCAGCGGGCAUAUCCACCAGUCAAGAUAACAGAAUAUUUCCACCUUGCCUGAGAGCUUCCUCCUGUCUCCUCACAGAUCCUUCUUCCACUCCAGGCCUGCAGGUAAUCACUGAUCUGUCUUCUGUCACAAUAGAUUUUCUAGAAUUUUUAAUGUAAUUGUACAGUA